CAAUGUUCCCAAAGGAUAUUUAUGAAGUAACUAAGGGAGAAACAAAUAUAAGAAAAACAGAAAAGCAUGGGAAUAACUGGAGAUGAAGAAACAAUUAUGGAAAGGUCAACAAUUUUCCAGAUGUGGAUUGAAGACCCUAUAACAUCUCUGACACUCUUUAAAGAGGUUGGAAGCACCAAGUUCUGGAAGCUAGAUGUGGACAUGGACAAUGUUUUCCUUAUAGAGAUGAAGCUAGAAAUAGGUAUUUCUCAUAAGGCUGAUUAGAUUUGGCUUACAAAAAAAAAUCAAUGAUGCUUUUGGAAAAUGAAAUUCAACUUAAAAAACAACAAAGUUCAUGACCUUCCUGGUAAAGCAAGUUUGAUUAAAAUAAAGAGGAAACACAGUUUUGAUUUAUUGGCUAA
RNAcentral lists this long non-coding RNA (401 nucleotides) under Monodelphis domestica (gray short-tailed opossum). RNAcentral describes it as "lncRNA (ENSMODG00000036292.2)". Lineage: Eukaryota; Metazoa; Chordata; Mammalia; Didelphimorphia; Didelphidae. The record is from RNAcentral.